GAACGGGUGAGUAACACGUGGGCAAUCUGCCCUGCACUCUGGGACAAGCCCUGGAAACGGGGUCUAAUACCGGAUAUGACUGUCCAUCGCAUGGUGGAUGGUGUAAAGCUCCGGCGGUGCAGGAUGAGCCCGCGGCCUAUCAGCUUGUUGGUGAGGUAGUGGCUCACCAAGGCGACGACGGGUAGCCGGCCUGAGAGGGCGACCGGCCACACUGGGACUGAGACACGGCCCAGACUCCUACGGGAGGCAGCAGUGGGGAAUAUUGCACAAUGGGCGAAAGCCUGAUGCAGCGACGCCGCGUGAGGGAUGACGGCCUUCGGGUUGUAAACUCUCUUUCAGCAGGGAAGAAGCGAAAGUGACGGUACCUGCAGAAGAAGCGCCGGCUAACUACGUGCCAGCAGCCGCGGGUAAUACGUAGGGCGCAAGCGUUGUCCGGAAUUAUUGGGCGUAAAGAGCUCGUAGGCGGCUUGUCACGUCGGUUGUGAAAGCCCGGGGCUUAACCCCGGGUCUGCAGUCGAUACGGGCAGGCUAGAGUUCGGUAGGGGAGAUCGGAAUUCCUGGUGUAGCGGUGAAAUGCGCAGAUAUCAGGAGGAACACCGGUGGCGAAGGCGGAUCUCUGGGCCGAUACUGACGCUGAGGAGCGAAAGCGUGGGGAGCGAACAGGAUUAGAUACCCUGGUAGUCCACGCCGUAAACGGUGGGCACUAGGUGUGGGCAACAUUCCACGUUGUCCGUGCCGCAGCUAACGCAUUAAGUGCCCCGCCUGGGGAGUACGGCCGCAAGGCUAAAACUCAAAGGAAUUGACGGGGGCCCGCACAAGCGGCGGAGCAUGUGGCUUAAUUCGACGCAACGCGAAGAACCUUACCAAGGCUUGACAUACACCGGAAACGUCUGGAGACAGGCGCCCCCUUGUGGUCGGUGUACAGGUGGUGCAUGGCUGUCGUCAGCUCCGUGUCGUGAGAUGUUGGGUUAAGUCCCGCAACGAGCGCAACCCUUGUCCCGUGUUGCCAGCAGGCCCUUGUGGUGCUGGGGACUCACGGGAGACCGCCGGGGUCAACUCGGAGGAAGGUGGGGACGACGUCAAGUCAUCAUGCCCCUUAUGUCUUGGGCUGCACACGUGCUACAAUGGCCGGUACAAUGAGCUGCGAUACCGCGAGGUGGAGCGAAUCUCAAAAAGCCGGUCUCAGUUCGGAUUGGGGUCUGCAACUCGACCCCAUGAAGUCGGAGUCGCUAGUAAUCGCAGAUCAGCAUUCCUGCGGUGAAUACGUUCCCGGGC
Molecule: ribosomal RNA, 1275 nt
Filed under: Streptomyces sp.
Lineage: Bacteria; Bacillati; Actinomycetota; Actinomycetes; Kitasatosporales; Streptomycetaceae
Description: bacterial SSU rRNA
Rfam family: Bacterial small subunit ribosomal RNA
Source: RNAcentral